CGGAGUGAGAUGGAGGCGGGACUCCGUGACCGUGGGUUAUAAAGGGAGGUGCUUGCGACGGCCGCCGCAGUUGACAAGAUGGUGGUGACUGAUGUCGGGCGAAGCAACGCUCAUGUGAAUGCGCCAAGAAACACGGGUCGGGACUGUAAACUGGCAAAUUCAGCAGAUUUAUCCUCUGACUUGAUGAAAGAAAAAUCCAGCUUUGGCAUUGAAAUGAAGCAGAAAGCAGAUGGAUGCAGUACAAAGAAGGCUGAGAAAAUUGCUGUUGGUGUGGAUGAAUUAAGACUUUCUUCUCCUGAUAAGACCCAAAAGAAUAAGAAAGCAUCGCAGUCCCGAACUCCUGGUUUGCGAAAAUCCCAGAUUUCCAAGUCGGGAUCGAUAUCGUCUUCAGGAAGCUCUCAAUCGUCUUCUCCCAGCUCUAGAUCCAGUUCGGUUUCAUCCUCUGCCAGCUCUCAAUCGGGUUCAGUGUUAUCUUCCAGCAGUUCUCGAUCCAGUUCAAUGUCGUCUACGAGCAGCUCUCAAUCUGGUUCACUGUCAUCUUCCAGUAGCUCUCGAUUAGGUUCAAUAUCAUCUUCUGGCAGUUCCAGAUCCAGUUCGCUGUCCUCUUCAGGCAGUUCCCGAUUGGGUUCAGUAAAAAAGCACAGGUCAAGUACAAAAUAUACCACGUUGGUUUCAAGGACCAAAUACAUAUCACGAGAGAAGUACAGAAGAUCAAGGCGUGCCAAUUCAAGGUCCCGGUCUCGAAGCUGGUCAAGAUCUUGUUACCGAAGAUCGAGGCAUCAAAUGUCUUGCCGGUCUCCAAUAAGGUCCAGAUCAAGGUCCAGUUUGAGAUAUAGAAGAUCUCGCUCAGGAUCAAGGUCAAGAUGUUCAUCUGGAUUACAGAGGACUUGCCAUAAUGUUAUCAGCAAAACCCAAUCAUCACACACAAGAAGCCGAAGCAGAUCAAGGGGCAGGUCUAUCCAUUUAACACAAAAAGAUAAAAAGACGUUGCUAGAAAUAGCAAAGGCAAAUGCUGAUAAGUUAUUUGGAAAGGACAUCAUCCGUUUGCCACCUAACCUGAGGCUUACCAAUCCAUUCAAAGAUGAGAAUUUUGAUUUUGAAAAGUAUAACAGUGAAGUAGCAAAAGAGGUGACCAGAAGGACUGGUGUACCAGCGGUGGGGUAGAAUAAAUUUUAAGCCUUGAAAUGGACUGCACUUCUUGGAAGAUAUGAGGUGGUAUCUUUGUAUCUGCAUGUGUGCAGUGAUUAGGGGCAAAUUGACCAAUUAUAGUAACAUUUAAAAAAAAAGCUUUCAAAAGGCGUGAUAUAAAUGAAUUAUGGCAAUGUCUAUCACUAAAUAAACAUUCUUUAAAUGGAGGUAACUUUUUUAACCGCUGUUAAAACAUAAUUACCAUUUGGCAUCUGCGCUUGAGGGAUGAAGCAUUAUCUAUUUUGUAUUUUUGAUCAGGGAGCAUGUGACCUCUAUCAAGCCAUCUACUUAGAACUAUGGGGAGAAUGGAGAAGCAUGGUGUAAUUCUUCCCUCUCAAAAGUCAAGGCAGUGCUAUAUUUGGUACUUCAUUAUACUGCAUUGUCUUCUAAUUCGACUUGUCAUGAUGCAUUUUAAUUCCAGUGCACUGAAUGAUAUUUAGUUUCCUCGGAUAUUGAUGGGAAAAUAGAUGGCAUGUGAACCAUUUAUCCAUGUCCAUUUUAUGUUAGACUAAGUUCUGGCAGUCCACAGGAUAUUGGAUGGAAAUGUGGCUGCUUUAGUAACACCAAAUGUAUAGUGAAACUGUAGCCCAUCCAGCCCAACAAAAAAUAAUAUUGCACACUAGCCUUUUUCCAUUCAUAUCUUGUUAGUGCAUUUUCUCCUUUUCUCAUGUUCCUUUUAACGCUAUAUAACUUAGCUACUUUUUAGGGUGCUAAAUUUCAAUCCUUAACCACUGAACAAUGAUAUUUUCCCUCUGUAGCUAAUUUGUUAGUGCUAGCUGCCAGUAUUUGUUCUAAUUUAGAUAUCUCCCACACAAACAAUUUCUGCACCUCUAUCCAAUUUAUCCAUAAUUUUAAGUUCUAAGCAUCUCUAUACUCAAAUCUUCAAUCUGCAUAAUUUUUUUCAGAAGCUAUAAUAUGUCCUAGUAUUGUCUUUGUAAACCAUUUUUGCCCCACUUCAAUGGUGAAUCAAUAUCCUUUUUUCUAGGAUGGAGACCAAUUCUAUGCAUUAGGAAUGAGCUGGGGUCUUGUAUACAUUCAAUUCUGUUUCUCUGGGAACAAAUUAUGUUGUUAGCAUUUUUGAUCCUUAGAUUACCUCAUUUAAUUUCAUGUUGCUAUAUUCUGAGAUUCUUUGCAUCAGCACCCCUUUGUUUCUUAUUUUCUAAGAUAUUUUAAUACUGAUUUACUGUAAACUGAAUUAGCUUUUAUUGCUUAUCAAUAGGUGUUAUUCAAUAUUGAUCCUUGUAAAACACUGUUUUCUAACAUCUUAAUAACUGCAUUAUACCUACUAAUAUACCUUCCAUUGUUGUCCCUCUUAGUUUGCAUUUUUGAGACGACCAUAGCAACCAUACUUUGAUUAUUUUUGUGGAUGGGAAAGAGUCCAUUUGUGAUUUUUAAUUACUUUUAAUGGAACCUGAGUAGACUACCUUAAACAUGUAUUGAUAAAUACUCGUCUAAUGAGAAGAUUUUUACAGCGAUUGCAGCAGUAUUUGGGCAGUGUGUGGGAAAGGUAGCUUUUAAUCACAGUAAAUAGUUAUAAACUUUUUUAGGUGACCUAUGUUAAUGAAAUGGUUUAACCAGAUGAUCAUUUGAUAACUAGGUAAUUAUUAACAUAGAUAAAAUCAAACCAUUUUAUAUAGGCUUGAAUCAACCUUUGAACUAUUUCCAUUUACUUUAUUACUACUAGCAAGCAGUGAUUUAAUUUUGAAAUAUCAAGGUACAACUGCACAAAGACGUGCUUGCUGAGAGAACAGCAGCACGAAGCUACCGUUUCUUCCAUGUGGGUGUCAAGCCAUGAAUAAAUUAAACUUUGGCAACUUUUUUGAACUUGAUGCAACCCCUCCUUUUAAAAACCACUGGUCAAAGAAACCUAUGGUGUUUCAGAAAUUAUUUUUCCCUGUAGCAUUUAAAGUAUGUGCUUAAAUUGCUGGCUUGAUGGUGAGUUUGAACAGAACUCGGCAGCCAAUCUUUAAUUGGAAUGUUUGUUUCAGUCUCGCCUUUGUUUAGAGCAGGUGUCUCCCACAAUGGACAUUGGAUUGACUACCUCUCAGUUGUUACGUAAUGGUAGUGUGAGUAGUAGGAUAUUAUGUAGUUGAGGUACGAUGCAUUAUUGGAUGCAGUAUGGAGGGAGCUUCACUUUGCAUGUCAAUGGUGCACUUGACCUUGGAGUGCUAGAUCUGAUAUUGUGAGAGAAAGCUCACUUCUUACUCUAAGCAGAGGGAAAACAAAACUAUCAUUCCAUGCUUUGUACUAUCAUUCCAUGGCAUAGGAUAUCUUUUGCAGUCUGGUCUGGAACACAGUUAAACCAUUAAACAUUUCAAGUGACAAUGCCUAAAAUCUGCAUAACUCUGAUCAGUUCCUGAACUUAGCUAUACGGCUUUUUACCCAUUAAUAAAUAUCACCUAAUUCCUUUAAGUGCUCUAAGGCAUAUGAGGCUGAGGUUUGGCUGACUGCUGCUGUUGGAUAUGGUAUUGUCCAUGCAUAAACUUUGUUCUAGGAUUUUCUUGUCCUCAUAAUUUAUUCACUGUGUUCCAGGAGGUUUUGAAUAUCAGAUCUUUGCCGAAGAAGAGGCCAACGUAUUUGGAGAUAAGUUCAUUGGGUUUUAUAGCCUAGAAUAUACCUUAUCCACAUGGCUACACGCAGUUGUACACUUCUAGUAUCUCUUGCCACAUGCUCAGAAGCAUUUUUUGUUUGAAUUGGAAAUAUCUUUGAACCAGCUAAAUGUUCAUGGAAUUCUCAUUGAUGUAAAUUGUUGUACAUUUUGUGAAGUAAUUUGUACCCAUUAAUCACUGGAACCAUGGCACUUCAAAUUACAAUCGUUCCUUGGCUGAACAUGUUAAAAUGAGUUUGAUGUUUUCUGAAUUGUUGGCCAUAUUGGUGCACAUUUGCAUAACUAGUGAAGGUACCAAGCCACAAAAAACAUUAGCAACUUCUCUGCAGAUUCUACCACAACAGGUAGAAAAAAAGUGUAUCCAUUUAAAAACAGCUGAUAUAAUGGUUGUCCUGCCAGUGUUGCACAUUUUCAGAAUUGUCUGAAUGUAGAUCACAAUUUUCAUUGGUCUGGCCAUUUUUUUCUUUCUGAAGGAGAAACACACAAAUGAAGUUGAAGAAGAUGAACCACUUCAGAAGUUACAAAAUGCCCCUUCAAGAAUGGAAACAAAUCAUUGGAUAGCUUUCAGUGUGAAAAAUGCAGUAGCAAAACCUUUGUAUCACAAGUCGUCAAGUGGCGCGAUUAAAGGAUCUCCUGAGAAUAAGCGGAAAGGAGGCCCAUAUGGACAAUGGGUGCUGGUACAAAGUGGUCGCAAGAAUGGUGAUAAAACACAAGCACGGUGAAGGCUUAGAAGGAUAUACAAAACAAUUUUAAAUGUAUUUGUAAUAAAUUACUUUAAGCCAGCACUAUAUUGCUUGGCAGAAAUUUAUGAGAAGUCUCGGCUGGCUUUGUUAAAUGUUUAUCAUAAAUUGGAGACUUUGGAGGAAUUUAUAGUUUUGUACAAUUAUUAAGGAUUUAUUUGGACUAACACAUGUUAACAGAGAUGUUGAGCAAUGCUUAGGCUGUGAUAGAUUUAUGCCCAAUGUCAGUCUUCUAAAAAAACCAUGCUGUUUUGCAGGUAGAUGUAAUUGACCAAAAUUUUGGAUUAGGCUUUGUUUAUGCGAAGAAAUAUUGUAAUUGUGUUGUUUUUUCAGAAUUCAAUAAAGAUUUGUAAAUAUGA
This is an RNA transcript of Amblyraja radiata (thorny skate), 4895 nucleotides long. It is a transcript of the gene named arginine/serine-rich protein 1, with no coding region annotated. The record is from RefSeq and is a predicted model, not a curated record. NCBI's taxonomy places the organism in Eukaryota, Metazoa, Chordata, Chondrichthyes, Rajiformes, Rajidae. The transcript has 7 exons.